ACUUUGAAGAGAGAGUUCAAGAGUACGUGAAACCGUUCAGGGGUAAACCUGAGAAACCCGAAAGGUCGAAAGGGGAGAUUCAACGCGUCUCGGAGCUCGCGAGCUUCGCGCGAAUGACGGGCGGCCUUCGCGGCCAGCUCGCUACGCGCGUCGACCGAUCGGGCAUCGAACGCGUGCACUUCUCCUCCUGUAGGACGUCGUGACCCGUUGGGCGCCGGGCUAAGGCCCGCGGUGGAGCCCGGACGCCUUUGGCGCGUCCGGACCCGCGGUGUCCUGCCCGGUACGACAGACGGUAUAACUACGGCGCGGGGCCGCGGCCAGUUCGCGUCCGGCGCGUCGCAAGCGCGAACGGCAACUCGGGCCGUCCGGGCCUAGUACCGGAUCCCGACCCGUUCGGCUGUUAGCGGCGCAGUCCUCGGACAGACCCCGUAUACACGCCAGUCUACGGC
RNAcentral lists this ribosomal RNA (449 nucleotides) under Pedaria sp. sp34. Its description in RNAcentral is "eukaryotic LSU rRNA". Lineage: Eukaryota; Metazoa; Arthropoda; Insecta; Coleoptera; Scarabaeidae. The record is from RNAcentral.